GGAUUAAGGCUUAGCUGUUGUUGUGUUGAAAAAUUAUUUUGCUAUUAUCAGAAUCAAUGACGGAAAGGAAAAGGGCUUCUGUAGUGGGUGCUUUGAUUAACAGAAAAAAUUAAAGGGGAUGGGAAAAAGUGGCCAAGGGAAAGAGAGACUGGAUGGUGAAAUGAAUUGAGAUUGUAAAAAAGGUAGAAAAGCAGUGAGGAAUUUGGUACCUUGAAUAGCAAUUUACUUGUGAAAAAAGCAGGCCUGCAAAAGGUGGAAAAGAAGGAAGAAAUGGCCAGAAUUGUUUGCCACAAGCUUUGGUCGCUGGUUUGAAAAUCUUUUCUUAGAAGUUGCCAUGUUGUAGGAGCUGGGAGCUUCCAUGAAAAGUGUGAAAUUCUAAUUUUAUGAAUAAAAUCUUUCUUAGAAAUAGGUCUAGAUGCUGCUUUUGCGGGGAUGGAAAUCACCACUGAAAUAUCAUCAAAUGUUCUGAUGCUUUCUGUCAACUCACUCUGAGUAGUUAUAAUAUUGUGCACUUGGUUAUGCAUUUUAAAGAUCCUAUCUUGUUUCUAGCUAUGCAAAGAUAAGGUCCUUGAUAGCCAUUCAUAUCUAUAAUGAAAUGUUGGUACAUUCAAGUUAGCUACAAUACCAUGACUGACUCUGCAGCAGAUUUAAUUUGCAGGUUUUAGCUUUUACUGAUUCCUUAGUUAUAAGAUUUAUGCCAUUAAUAACUAGUAAUUAAAUAAUGUUGUAGCUAGCUAGGAUUAUCCCAAGCUUUGUUAUACUGGACUUCCUCCAUGAUCUA
Molecule: unclassified non-coding RNA, 781 nt
Filed under: Hevea brasiliensis (rubber tree)
Lineage: Eukaryota; Viridiplantae; Streptophyta; Magnoliopsida; Malpighiales; Euphorbiaceae
Source: RNAcentral